UGGAGCAGGUACCAUGUGAUCCCAGGGAGCGCCUCGUGCCCCAGUGACACACUUUUCCAACAGCCGGCACGUUGAGCUCUUGCGCGCCUGCGCAACGACAAGACUGUCGGGAUUUGUAGUCCACCGACAAAGUGGGCGGACUGCGUGCCUUUCCCCUUUCUGCCUGGCAAAGCGCUUGCCGGGACCUGGGAGGAGCUGAGAGUGGGGUGGGGUGGGGUGCGCUGAAGAGUCAGGGUGGCGUGUUUAGAAAGCCUGUAUGGCAGGGGCAUGUGAAUUUCUGGGGAGGGACUGGCAAGCUUGUUUGCUGUCUGGGAGAUCAAAGCUAAGAGGCCCUUUCUGCAAACCUUGCAAACGUGAGGGCUUCACGUGAUUGCAGGACUGACCUCGUCCUGAGGU
This 396-nucleotide long non-coding RNA is filed under the name Homo sapiens (human). RNAcentral's name for it is "HSALNT0240414". The record is from RNAcentral. Lineage: Eukaryota; Metazoa; Chordata; Mammalia; Primates; Hominidae.